This 460-nucleotide ribosomal RNA is filed under the name uncultured bacterium. RNAcentral describes it as "partial 16S ribosomal RNA". It matches the Rfam family "Bacterial small subunit ribosomal RNA", at positions 338 to 795 of the family's 1533-position model. The record is from RNAcentral.
CCUACGGGUGGCAGCAGUGAGGAAUAUUGGUCAAUGGACGAGAGUCUGAACCAGCCAAGUAGCGUGAAGGAUGACUGCCCUAUGGGUUGUAAACUUCUUUUAUAUGGGAAUAAAAUGUUCCACGUGUGGGAUUUUGUAUGUACCAUAUGAAUAAGGAUCGGCUAACUCCGUGCCAGCAGCCGCGGUAAUACGGAGGAUCUGAGCGUUAUCCGGAUUUAUUGGGUUUAAAGGGAGCGUAGGUGGAUUGUUAAGUCAGUUGUGAAAGUUUGCGGCUCAACCGUAAAAUUGCAGUUGAAACUGGCCGUCUUGAGUACAGUAGAGGUGGGCGGAAUUCGUGGUGUAGCGGUGAAAUGCUUAGAUAUCACGAAGAACUCCGAUUGCGAAGGCAGCUCACUGGACUGCAACUGACACUGAGGCUCGAAAGUGUGGGUAUCGAACAGGAUUAGAUACCCCGGUAGUC